RNAcentral lists this long non-coding RNA (1269 nucleotides) under Gadus morhua (Atlantic cod). Its description in RNAcentral is "lncRNA (ENSGMOG00000023704.1)". The record is from RNAcentral. Lineage: Eukaryota; Metazoa; Chordata; Actinopteri; Gadiformes; Gadidae.
AUGCAUAACAUUCUUCAACAAAUGCAUCGUGGAGAGGCCGUUUCACAUGUUAACAAUCAGACGAGUGUUACAGUGUGUAAAGCCGGGCGACUGGUUCACCUCAAUAGAUUUGAAGGACGCCUACUUCCACGUCACAGUGAUCCCCAAACACAGGAAAUUCCUGUGUUUCUCGUUCCAAGGGUCACACUACCAGUACAACCGUCUCCCGUUCGGCUAUUCUCUAGCACCACGAACGUAUUCCAAGUGCGUGGAGACGGCUCUCCGGCCGAUUCACGCAACAGAAAUGAGAGUACUGUUCUACUUGGACAAUCUGCUUUUGAUGGCUCGCUCCAAGGAGGAAGCAGCUAUUCAAACAAAAAAGCUGGUGAUUCACCUGCAGAAUUUAGGCUUCGCCAUAAAUUGGAAGAAGAGCUCCCCCCUCCCCUCACAGAGUGUGAUGUAUUAGGGGGUAGAGCUGGAUUCAGUUGUAAUGAGAGCACGGCUCUCACAGCAGAGGAUGGAGACGCUGUGGUCUCUCCUCCGCCGCUGUUCCCCGGGCAGCGUCGUGACAGCCCUCUCUGUCAUGAGGCUGCUGGGCAUGAUAUCCGCCGCUCACACGGUGGUGCCGCUGGGGCUGCUUCACAUGAGGCGGCUGCAGAGAUGGUUUUCUCGCCUGCGCCUCGACCCGGUGCACCAACGGCGGCGCAAAUGGACCAUUCCCCUAUCAGUGGGCCCCGAUUUGACCCACUGGGGCAAUCCCCAAACUCUUGCGAGAGGGGUGCCGUUGGGCAGAGCAACGUCACACAUCUCGGUGUUCACGGAUGCUUCUCUGUCGGGCUGGGGAGGAACAUGCGAGUUUCACGUAGUGGGCGGCGUUUGCCCCCCCCCCGUGACCAUGCACAUAAAUGCAUUGGAGCUCCUCACUGUGUUGAAAGUGGUCCAACACUUUGCCCCAUCGUUGACAAAUCAACAUGUAAUGAUUUGCACGGACAACAAGGCGACAGCGGCAUACAUAUAUCGCCAAGGGGCCGUGCGCACGGCACAGCUGCUGAGCAUAGCGAGACAGCUGUUAUGCUGGGCGCACACGCACUUGCUCUGCAUCAGAGCAGCGUACAUCCCCGGCAACACACGAGUGCACCGUGGUUUCCCUGCCUCCAGCGUCUGCUCUCGGGGCCACCGAAGGAACUCCCUUGGCGGUGGGACGCUCUCUCACAGGCAGGGGGAGCAAUCAUAGAUUACCCAGAGAUCGGCCAGCGCUUGUGGGCCUGGCCGCUGAACGCGAGCGCCUAG